RNAcentral lists this ribosomal RNA (358 nucleotides) under uncultured Comamonadaceae bacterium. RNAcentral's name for it is "bacterial SSU rRNA". It matches the Rfam family "Bacterial small subunit ribosomal RNA", at positions 30 to 388 of the family's 1533-position model. Lineage: Bacteria; Pseudomonadati; Pseudomonadota; Betaproteobacteria; Burkholderiales; Comamonadaceae. The record is from RNAcentral.
AUUGAACGCUGGCGGCAUGCCUUACACAUGCAAGUCGAACGGCAGCACGGGAGCAAUCCUGGUGGCGAGUGGCGAACGGGUGAGUAAUACAUCGGAACGUGCCCAAUCGUGGGGGAUAACGCAGCGAAAGCUGUGCUAAUACCGCAUACGAUCUACGGAUGAAAGCAGGGGAUCGCAAGACCUUGCGCGAAUGGAGCGGCCGAUGGCAGAUUAGGUAGUUGGUGAGGUAAAGGCUCACCAAGCCGUCGAUCUGUAGCUGGUCUGAGAGGACGACCAGCCACACUGGGACUGAGACACGGCCCAGACUCCUACGGGAGGCAGCAGUGGGGAAUUUUGGACAAUGGGCGAAAGCCUGAUC